GUCAGAGUUUGAUCCUGGCUCAGGAUGAACGCUAGCGGCAGGCCUAAUACAUGCAAGUCGAACGGUGAUAGCAAUAUCAUAGUGGCGCACGGGUGCGUAACACGUAUGCAACCUACCUAUUAUUGGGGGAUAGCCUUUGGAAACGGAGAUUAAUACCGCAUAAUACGAUUGACUGGCAUCGGUUGAUUGUUAAAGCUUCGGCGAUAAUAGAUGGGCAUGCGUCCAAUUAGUUAGUUGGUUAGGUAACGGCUGACCAAGACGAUGAUUGGUAGGGGAACUGAGAGGUCAAUCCCCCACACUGGGACUGAGACACGGCCCAGACUCCUACGGGAGGCAGCAGUGGGGAAUAUUGGGGCAAUGGACGCAAGUCUGACCCAGCCCAUGCCGCGUGCAGGAUGAA
This 400-nucleotide ribosomal RNA is filed under the name uncultured Flectobacillus sp. RNAcentral's name for it is "bacterial SSU rRNA". It matches the Rfam family "Bacterial small subunit ribosomal RNA", at positions 1 to 412 of the family's 1533-position model. Lineage: Bacteria; Pseudomonadati; Bacteroidota; Cytophagia; Cytophagales; Flectobacillaceae. The record is from RNAcentral.